Molecule: transfer RNA, 82 nt
Filed under: Candidatus Omnitrophica bacterium 4484_70.1
Lineage: Bacteria; Pseudomonadati; Candidatus Omnitrophota
Description: tRNA-Leu
Rfam family: tRNA
About the family: Transfer RNA (tRNA) molecules are approximately 80 nucleotides in length. Their secondary structure includes four short double-helical elements and three loops (D, anti-codon, and T loops).
Source: RNAcentral
GCGCGGGUGGCGGAAUUGGCAGACGCGCUAGAUUCAGGUUCUAGUGAGAGUUCUCGUGCGGGUUCAAAUCCCGCCCCGCGCA